RNAcentral lists this transfer RNA (73 nucleotides) under Microbacterium sp. Its description in RNAcentral is "tRNA-Val". It matches the Rfam family "tRNA". From Rfam's summary of the family: Transfer RNA (tRNA) molecules are approximately 80 nucleotides in length. Lineage: Bacteria; Bacillati; Actinomycetota; Actinomycetes; Micrococcales; Microbacteriaceae. The record is from RNAcentral.
GGGCCUUUAGCUCAGCUGGUAGAGCAACUGGUUUACACCCAGUAGGUCGUCGGUUCGAUCCCGGCAGGGCCCA